This 254-nucleotide ribosomal RNA is filed under the name uncultured bacterium. RNAcentral's name for it is "partial 16S ribosomal RNA". It matches the Rfam family "Bacterial small subunit ribosomal RNA", at positions 79 to 334 of the family's 1533-position model. The record is from RNAcentral.
CUUUCUUUGCUGGCGACCGGCGCACGGGCGAGUAACACGUAUCCAACCUGCCCUUUACUCGGGGAUAGCCUUUCGAAAGAAAGAUUAAUACCCGAUAGCAUAAUGAUUCCGCAUGGUUUCAUUAUUAAAGGAUUCCGGUAAAGGAUGGGGAUGCGUUCCAUUAGGUUGUUGGUGAGGUAACGGCUCACCAAGCCUUCGAUGGAUAGGGGUUCUGAGAGGAAGGUCCCCCACAUUGGAACUGAGACACGGUCCAA